This 301-nucleotide ribosomal RNA is filed under the name uncultured bacterium. Its description in RNAcentral is "partial 16S ribosomal RNA". It matches the Rfam family "Bacterial small subunit ribosomal RNA", at positions 509 to 807 of the family's 1533-position model. The record is from RNAcentral.
CAGUCGCCGCGGUAAUACGUAGGGUGUGAGCGUUAAUCGGAAUUACUGGGCGUAAAGCGUGCGCAGGCGGUUUUGUAAGACAGGCGUGAAAUCCCCGGGCUCAACCUGGGAAUGGCGCUUGUGACUGCAAAGCUAGAGUGCGGCAGAGGGGGAUGGAAUUCCGCGUGUAGCAGUGAAAUGCGUAGAUAUGCGGAGGAACACCGAUGGCGAAGGCAAUCCCCUGGGCCUGCACUGACGCUCAUGCACGAAAGCGUGGGGAGCAAACAGGAUUAGAUACCCCCGUAGUCCCUGUCUCUUAUAC